Molecule: long non-coding RNA, 1969 nt
Organism: Lampris incognitus (smalleye Pacific opah)
Lineage: Eukaryota; Metazoa; Chordata; Actinopteri; Lampriformes; Lampridae
Exons: 4
Source: RefSeq, a predicted model, not a curated record
CUUGCGAGCUGACGAGCUCCUCCUUCCCUGCGUGCCUCCAUAUCUCCCUGUGUCUCAUUUCUUUUUUCCUCCUCCUGUCUCAUGCAGGAGAACCUUGGUGGCCAGUCUCUUGCCACGUCAAGCCUCCGGCGAGUCCACCUUGCUCUCCGCUGGAGCGGCUGGCUCGUUUCGGACGGCCGCAUCGCACACCAUCCCGGCCCCGCCGAGAAACCUUUUCACCACGGCACCUUGACUCGACUUUACACCAACUUUGCUGCAACGGAAGACCACGAGUAAGAGAGAAAGGCUCCACUUCGACCCGCCAAUCCCAAGUGUUAGCCAACCAAACGACAACUGGCAAUGGGAACUUUACUCCGGACAUCAAGAUGUACGAGCAGAAGAUGAGAGGAGACAGGAGGAGGAGGAGGAGGAGAGAGAAAUAAUGGUUGUAUCUACAUCACCCCAAAAAAGCCUUCUCCAUCAGCCUGGUCAGCCCUUUUCCCUGUCAGGCAUCCACAGAGCCAAGAGAGACUCUUAACACGGCCGAGCUGAGUUAAAUGCCAGUGUCGAGUAUUGUAAAUCACAUUGUAUCCGGCCAAUUACCCCACUCUUCUGAGCCGUCCCGGUCGCUGCUCCACCUCCUCUGCCGAGCCGGGGAGGGCUGCAGACUACCUCCUUCAAUACACGUGGAGUCGCCAGCCGCUUCUUUCACCUGACAUUGGGGAGUUUCACCAGGGUGAUGUAGCGCGUGGGAGGAUCAUGCUAUUACCCCUAGUUUCUCCUCCCCCCUGAACAGGCACCCCAACCAACCAGAGGAGGCACUAGUGCAGUGACCAGGACCACAUCCGGCUCCCACAGACAUUGCCCAUUGUGUCAGUAGGGACGCCCGACCAAACCGGAGGGAAGUCAAAGUAGAAGGUCAGCGUAACACCACUACCAGGGCUAGUGAGGAUUCAGUGCCUUGCUCAAAACAUCACUGAGGCAGAUUUUUGGUCCUCCGGUUUAGGGCAAUCAUUUUUUUUUCUUUUUUGUGGAUUUUUGUCCCCACAAUUAGCUCAUCCCCCCCCCCCCCGCCGAUCCGGGGAGGACUGCAGACUACCACAUGCCUCCUCCGAUACAUGUGGAGUUGCCAGCCACUUCUUUUCACCUGACAGUGAGGAGUUUCGCCAGGGGGACGUAACGCGUGGGAGGAUCACGCUAUUCCCCCCAGUUCCCCCUACUCCCUAAACAGGCGCCCCAACUGACCAGAAGAGGCGCUAGUGCAGCGACCAGGACACAUACCCACAUCCGGCUUCCCACCUGCAGACACGGCCAAUGUGUCUGCAAGGACGCACAACCGAGCCAGAGGCAACACGGGGAUUGGAACCGGCGAUCCCUGUGUUGGUAGGCAACGGAAUAGACCGCUACACUACCUGGAUGCCCUUGGGCAAUCAUUUUGUCACCUUUGUGCCCUUGUUAGAUCAGAGCACGUACUAUUGUACGUAUAUGUGUGGGGCUGAGUGUAAGCCUGUGUGUAUGUGUACUGUGUAUGCUUGUGGUGACAUAUAUUUGUUACCUGGUCCUUGGUGCGGCUCUCGCGGUCCCUGAUGUGCUGGGUUACAAUUCUCUCCAUCUCCUCUCUCAGCAUGGGAUACUGAGCCAGCUGAAGACACAAAACACAAUAGGUAGGCAGCAAUGCCCAGCCACAUAAAAUCUCUCUCUCUCUCUUCCAUACUGGCCUAAUUGAACCACAAGAUCCACUUUCUAUUAAACUAUAUACUCCAAACAGAGCAACACACAGAUGCACAAACACAAAUGCAUUCUACAAAUACACAUUCAAGCACGUUAUGUUUGGGAGAAUGUAUCACAGACUCACUCCAGUUGUCACAAAGCCUACGCAUAGGGGUAUUCAUGUAAAUGGUGAUUUUUAAAGUAGGCUAAAAUGCAAAGGAAUAGAGGAAAGAAAGUCUUUGAUAUUUCUGCACCAAACACAAAAUAAACAAUAUCUGUA